AACCUGCCAUGGAGUGGGGGGAGUAACCUGGGGAAACUUGGGCUAAUACCGCAUACGACCUCAGCACUGCGGUGCUGAGAGGAAAGCUAGCCAAUUCUUGAAAGCUAGCGCUCUUUGAGGGGCCCGCGCCCGAUUAGCUUGUUGGUGAGGUAACGGCUCACCAAGGCGGUGAUCGGUGGCCGGCCUGAGAGGGCGAUCGGCCACACUGGGACUGAGACACGGCCCAG
This 227-nucleotide ribosomal RNA is filed under the name uncultured bacterium. RNAcentral describes it as "partial 16S ribosomal RNA". It matches the Rfam family "Bacterial small subunit ribosomal RNA", at positions 123 to 334 of the family's 1533-position model. The record is from RNAcentral.